This is a long non-coding RNA of Cyprinus carpio (common carp), 1052 nucleotides long. NCBI's taxonomy places the organism in Eukaryota, Metazoa, Chordata, Actinopteri, Cypriniformes, Cyprinidae. The record is from Ensembl.
AUGCAUGAUGUGUGGUCGUUGAUCAGGGAAGAUGCUGAACGUCCACCCGUCGCUGCUGCCGUCCUUCAGAGGAGUGAACGCUCAGAAACAGGCUCUUCAGGCCGGAGUCAGACUCACCGGAUGCACGGUGCACUUCGUGGCGGAGGAAGUGGACGCAGGAGCGAUCGUGGUUCAGGAGGCGGUGCCCAUCCUGGUGACGGACACAGAGGACAGCCUAUCAGAGCGCAUCCGGGAGGCGGAGCAUCGGGCUUUCCCAGCAGCCCUGGAGCUGGUGUGCAGCGGCGCGGCGAAGCUGCGAGACGACGGGAGGAUCGUGUGGAGCCACAGCGCUCAGGGAUAAACACACACGCUUGUUAUAACACUACUGUACUCUAGAUCCUCUGUUGAGGAACGCUUGAGUUAUUUGAGAUGUACAUGAUGAGAAUUAUUCCCUGCAUGUAACAGAACUAGAUCAGCAUUAAACUUGCACUGCUCUCAGACAAACCUGAUCUUUUUAUUAUUAUUAUUAUUAUUGUUCUCACUCGUUUAAGAAUAUUAAACAUGGUAUCAUGCAGAACACAAGCCCCUGAGAUCAUUUAUCAAGCAGAAACCUGAUUACAAAAACAUUACAGAAACUGAGACGUUAGUUCUUAUUUUCAAGGAGGUCCUAAACACAGAAACAAAACAUUACAACAUAAACUGAUAUAAAUGGCUUUGAUUCGCAGAGAUUGUAUAUCAUCUUAUUAUCAAUACAUAAUCAUUCAAAUGUUUAAUCACUUGCUGCUUUGUUCCAGAAAUCCUGCUUAUUUUCUUUAAAUACAGACCUGCUGUUAAGGUUAUUUAUGGAUAUAUUAAUAUGCAUAUACUUCUGUUCAGAUGUCAGCAUUUAUUUUCAACCGUCUGAAAGCGUCACUGUAUCACCUCCAUUAAUAAUGUAAUGUAAAAUAUCAUUAUUCAUAUCUUUCAAUAUACCCACUUUCAAUUUAAGGCUUAAAAAAUGAUUCAUCCAUUCAACUAAGAAAGUUCAGUUCAUAUAUACGUGUGUGUGUGUGUGUGUGUGUGUGUGUGUGUGU